CCUACGGGUGGCUGCAGUGAGGAAUAUUGGUCAAUGGGCGAGAGCCUGAACCAGCCAAGUCGCGUGAGGGAGUACUGCCCUAUGGGUUGUAAACCUCUUUUGUCGGGGAGCAAAAGCCGGACGUGUCCGGCUGUGAGAGUACACGAAGAAAAAGCAUCGGCUAACUCCGUGCCAGAAGCCGCGGUAAUACGGGGGAUGCGAGAGUUUUCCGGAUUUAUUGGGUUUAAAGGGUGGUCAGCCGGAUUGUUAGGUCGGCGGGAAAAUCCUUGGGCUCAACCCCAUCCAGCCGUUGAAACUGGGGAUCUAGAGUGUGCGAGAGGUAUGCGGAAUGCGUGGUGUAGCGGUGAAAUGCAUAGAUAUCACGCAGAACCCCGAUUGCGAAGGCAGCAUACCGGUGCACAACUGACGUUCAGGCACGAAAGCGUGGGUAUCGAACAGGAUUAGAUACCCCAGUAGUC
Molecule: ribosomal RNA, 458 nt
Filed under: uncultured bacterium
Lineage: Bacteria
Description: partial 16S ribosomal RNA
Rfam family: Bacterial small subunit ribosomal RNA
Source: RNAcentral